Molecule: ribosomal RNA, 249 nt
Filed under: uncultured Sporobacter sp.
Lineage: Bacteria; Bacillati; Bacillota; Clostridia; Eubacteriales; Oscillospiraceae
Description: partial 16S ribosomal RNA
Rfam family: Bacterial small subunit ribosomal RNA
Source: RNAcentral
CACGCUGUAAACGAUGAAUACUAGGUGUGGGGGGACUGACCCCCUCCGUGCCGGAGUUAACACAAUAAGUAUUCCACCUGGGGAGUACGGCCGCAAGGUUGAAACUCAAAGGAAUUGACGGGGGCCCGCACAAGCAGUGGAUUAUGUGGUUUAAUUCGAAGCAACGCGAAGAACCUUACCAGGGCUUGACAUCCUGCUAACGGAGUGGAAACACAUCAGGUGCCCUUCGGGGAAAGCAGAGACAGGUGG